This 112-nucleotide small nucleolar RNA is filed under the name Mus pahari (shrew mouse). RNAcentral's name for it is "predicted gene, 25824 (MGP_PahariEiJ_G0034251.1)". It matches the Rfam family "Small nucleolar RNA SNORA17". Rfam says of the family: snoRNA ACA 17 belongs to the H/ACA family of snoRNAs and is predicted to guide pseudouridylation of the 28S rRNA at positions U4659 and U4598. It shares the same host gene together with ACA43. The record is from RNAcentral. Lineage: Eukaryota; Metazoa; Chordata; Mammalia; Rodentia; Muridae.
CCUGCCCCUACUGGUGUUUCAGGAGCCACAUAUGCAGCAGUAGGUGGCAGAGAGGAGAGAGGCUAUGUCUACACUCAGUUCUGACCUAUAAAGCCUGAGACAACCAACACUC